Molecule: long non-coding RNA, 1432 nt
Organism: Passer montanus (Eurasian tree sparrow)
Lineage: Eukaryota; Metazoa; Chordata; Aves; Passeriformes; Passeridae
Exons: 3
Source: RefSeq, a predicted model, not a curated record
UUCUCCCUUCCCAGUAAACUGCAUCUGCUGCUUGCUCAUGCUGCAGCUUUAUGUAGGGAUGGGCUCUCUCUGGCCUUUUGGCAUGCCAUGGGUUCAGCCUGGUCCCCAGGAUCAUGCAAAGUACAAGCCUGAGCCUCGAUGCAAAGAGCAUGAGGGGGAAACAAAAGGACCGACUUUUUGAUUAAUUAGAGGAGAAUGCUUGGAAGCUGUGGUGCUAAGUGAGUAUAAAGCAGUGAUAUUCACAAACUAGACAGCAAACUAAAGUGGACAGAGAAGUUGGACAAAUGGUGUGUGCCUUAUUCUUAUCAGAAGUGUGCAGGCCUUUAAGGUGUGGAUUUGCCUGUGGAAGGAUUUCUCUCGAGUACCAUAAACAAGCAGAGAACGAGAACCAUGACCUUGUAUAUGCCGGAGAGGUGCCUUGAGAGCGCCCUGUGGGUUUUCCCCUUAUGAUUGUACCUCUCAUGUCACCUCAAAGGAGACUCUCUUUCCUUGCACGUGGGCUGCCCAGCACAUCCAGCAGGCAGUUAACCUAAUUAUGCAGCAAGGCAAGCAGGAAUGAAAGAACCCAUGCUGCUGCAAGGAGGGAUCAUUGCUGGGCUAAUCAGAGCCUGCCAUGCUCAAUGCUGCUGCCAGUGUGCCUUUUGGGGGGACAGGAGAUGGGGUGGCUGCAAGUCACAAGCCACACCAGCAGCCCUGAUGAGUCCUGUGGAAAUGUAACCUCCUGUCUCACACGGCUGCAGGUUCACCAUGGGGGCUGCUUUGCAGUGCCGGAGGCUCUUUCCAUAGGCACCAUCUCAAAAUGACCCCACAGGUCUUAUCAGUAACUUACAGCAGAUUUUUCUGAGAAAGCAUCUCAGCUGGGAGUGCUGUCCAGUCAUCCCAGCUUCCCCACGGAUGGACUAAACUGGCAUUAUUCAGGAGAAUCUGGAGGAACAGCAUUGAUUUAACCAGCUGAAAGGUUUUAUUGUGUCAAUCAUGUAGCAAUAGCCUACAGCUAUGAAAUUCACAGACACCUCAGCAGACGUCCAUGUUUCUUCCAUGUUUUCAUAAGACCAUUUUCUUAGUUUUCCCAGAAAUUUUAAUCCACUAUCUUUCUAAAAUCUUAUGGCUUUUCCUGCGAACUUGGCCUGCUGUUUUUCCUUCUGGGUCUCUGCUCACCAUUAUGUCAUUCUCGGUACACAUCCAGCUGGACACUUUGCAGCUAUGUGCUUUCCAGAGGCUUCCAAAUGUGCAUUAAAGCUGUUAAUUUAAUUUUACUUCACUCUUAGUCUGCUUCAUCAUGAGCACAAGGACGUCUUUCACCUGGCUGAAAAGCAAAUUGUUCAUGAGCGCCGUCCUUUGCCCUGAAUUGGCAAUAGAUUAUAGAUUGCUGGUUCUGGUGUUGACCCUUUAGGCAAGCCAGAAAGUUGGCUAGAUAUUACUACACAGUAAA